RNAcentral lists this ribosomal RNA (468 nucleotides) under uncultured bacterium. Its description in RNAcentral is "partial 16S ribosomal RNA". It matches the Rfam family "Bacterial small subunit ribosomal RNA", at positions 28 to 507 of the family's 1533-position model. The record is from RNAcentral.
GAUGAACGCUGGCGGCGUGCCUAACACAUGCAAGUCGAACGGAAAGGCGCCGCUAAUGCGGGGUGGUCGAGGGGCGAACGGGUGAGUAACACGUGAGUAACCUACACGUGAGUUUGGGAUAACUUCAGGAAACUGGGGAGAAUAAAGGAUAGGAGCACAUGGUGCAUGGUGGGGGUGGGAAAGGUUCGGCGGUUGGGGAAGGACUCGCGGCUGAUCAGCUUGGGGGUGGGGUAGUGGCUUACCAAGGCUUUGACGGGUAGCCGGCCUGAGAGGGUGGCCGGCCACGCUGGGUCUGGGAUGCGGCCCAGACUCCUCCGGGAGGCAGCGGUGGAGAAUAUUGCACUGUGGGCGGAGGCCUGAUGCAGCGACGCCGCGUGCGGGAUGACGGCCUUCGUGUUGUUAACCACUUUCGCCUGUGACGAGGAGUGAGUGACGGUAACGGGUAAAGAAGCACCGGCUAACUACGUG